RNAcentral lists this long non-coding RNA (387 nucleotides) under Ictidomys tridecemlineatus (thirteen-lined ground squirrel). RNAcentral describes it as "lncRNA (ENSSTOG00000032134.1)". Lineage: Eukaryota; Metazoa; Chordata; Mammalia; Rodentia; Sciuridae. The record is from RNAcentral.
GGACAGAGGGGACAUCGCCAUCUGAUCCACCCAAGGAGACUCGGAAGUUCUUUUUGCACGUGUCAACUCCUGUGCUGCAAUAUGCCACGUGAACUUUCUCUGUCAUUACAAGUCCCAUCACUUGGGAAAUGAAGCCGUGAAAUGUCACCCCAAGUGCAUAGGAAGACCUGCUCCUUGCAGCCGGGAACCGUGUCCAGAGUUAGUGUUCCAUGCAUAUGUCACCCUGGUUGUCUGCGAAAGGCUUGCGUCUCUCUCCAUGGGAUUUCUCCAGAAGAACCACAUUCGGGUUUUCUUGUCAAAUUCACGGAGCUCCAGCUAGCAAGGGUAGAGAGCACGCCAGGGAUCGUGCUGUGUGCCCACAGACGAAAGGAGCCCCAGCCCUAAGUC